CAAAGGCUUGGUCCUGACUUUACUAUCAGCUCUGAUUAAAUUUACACAUGCAAGUGUCAGCAGCCCCGUGAGAAUGCCCUCAGCCUUCUGCCCGAAGACAAGGAGCUGGUAUCAGGCACAACUUAUAAUUUAGCCCAAGACGCCUUGCUCAGCCACACCCUCAAGGGAACUCAGCAGUGAUAAACAUUAAGCCAUAAGCGAAAGCUUGACUUAGUUAAGAUCUUUAGGGCCGGUAAAACUCGUGCCAGCCACCGCGGUUAUACGAGAGGCCCAAGUUGAUAGGCGACGGCGUAAAGAGUGGUUAAGAGCCCCCUAAACUAAAGCCAAACGUCUCCAAAGCUGUUAUACGCACCCGAAGAAUAGAAGACCAACCACGAAAGUGGCUUUAACUCAUCUGAACCCACGAGAACUAUAACACAAACUGGGAUUAGAUACCCCACUAUGUAUAGUCAUAAACUUUGAUAGAGUCCUACGCACUAUCCGCCAGGGUACUACGAGCACUAGCUUAAAACCCAAAGGACUUGGCGGUGCUUUAGACCCCCCUAGAGGAGCCUGUUCUAGAACCGAUACCCCCCGUUCAACCUCACCACCCCUUGCCCUUGCUGCCUAUAUACCGCCGCCGUCAGCUUACCCUGUGAAGGCCCAAUAGUAAGCAAAACUGGCAUAGCCUAAAACGUCAGGUCGAGGUGUAGCGCAUGAGGUGGGAAGAAAUGGGCUACAUUCUCUAACCCAGAGAACACGAAAGGCAUGUUGAAACACAUUCCUAAAGGAGGAUUUAGCAGUAAGUGAAAAAUAGAGUGUUUCACUGAAGCCGGCUCUAAAGCGCGCACACACCGCCCGUCACUCUCCCCGAGUAAGCUUUUUGAAGAAUAAGUAAAACACUAAAUUAAACCAAGGGGAGGCAAGUCGUAACAUGGUAAGUGUACCGGAAGGUGCACUUGGAAAAAU
RNAcentral lists this non-coding RNA (948 nucleotides) under Metavelifer multiradiatus. RNAcentral describes it as "12S rRNA". It matches the Rfam family "Bacterial small subunit ribosomal RNA". The record is from RNAcentral. Lineage: Eukaryota; Metazoa; Chordata; Actinopteri; Lampriformes; Veliferidae.